UAGGGAAUCUUCCACAAUGGCGAAAGCCUGAUGGAGCAACGCCGCGUGUGUGAUGAAGGGUUUCGGCUCGUAAACACUGUUGUAAGAGAAGAAUGACAUUGAGAGUAACUGUUCAAUGUGUGACGGUAUCUUACCAGAAAGGAACGGCUAAAUACGUGCCAG
RNAcentral lists this ribosomal RNA (162 nucleotides) under uncultured bacterium. Its description in RNAcentral is "partial 16S rRNA". It matches the Rfam family "Bacterial small subunit ribosomal RNA", at positions 355 to 511 of the family's 1533-position model. The record is from RNAcentral.